UACGGAGGGGGCUAGCGUUGUUCGGAAUUACUGGGCGUAAAGCGCACGUAGGCGGACCUGCAAGUUGGGUGUGAAAUCCCGGGGCUCAACCCCGGAACUGCCUCCAAAACUGCUGGUCUGGAGGUCGAGAGAGGUGAGUGGAAUUCCAGGUGUAGCGGUGAAAUGCGUAGAUAUCUGGAGGAACACCGGUGGCGAAGGCGGCAUCCUGGACCGAUAUUGACGCUGAUGCGCGAAAGCCAGGGGAGCAAACGGG
This 253-nucleotide ribosomal RNA is filed under the name uncultured bacterium. Its description in RNAcentral is "partial 16S ribosomal RNA". It matches the Rfam family "Bacterial small subunit ribosomal RNA", at positions 524 to 776 of the family's 1533-position model. The record is from RNAcentral.